Canis lupus familiaris (dog) is the source of this 4729-nucleotide long non-coding RNA. RefSeq lists it as uncharacterized. The record is from RefSeq and is a predicted model, not a curated record. The transcript has 3 exons. Lineage: Eukaryota; Metazoa; Chordata; Mammalia; Carnivora; Canidae.
UGAUUUGAGGGCUGUGGGAAAAGUCAUUCAUCAUCUACUGGCUACAGGAAAACAUGAUGUUGAUAUGAAGGCAGCCAACCUCUGAAAUGACAACUGUUUUUAUCAGCCUUGGAAAGGGCAUGGUCAAACAGAGGCACUGCUCAAGUGCCUCUCCUUCCAACCUAUAAUCAAGAAUUGUCCUAGGAAGAGAUCUUACCUCUCCAGUUGGGAUCUUUGGUUGGCUUCCUUAUCUUAAUUCUCCCCUUUUUAGGAUUUCCUCUGACAGUCCUUUUUGCUCUCAUUCCCUUAGUUGUCUCUAGAGCUUGAGUCUGACUCUUAUCUUUUACUCUCAUGGAAGGGAGGGUGCAUACUGGCUGCUCUCAUGAGAUCUGACAGAGAUAGACUUGUCCAGGGACUUAAAUCACUCAAACCCUGCAUCAUUCAGCAAAAGUCUAGGAAACUAUUUCCUGCUUAUUUCCUUAUAUUCUUCUGAUACUUGGGUUUUCAAAGUAGUUCUGUUUAAAGAAAAUUAAUAGCCUGAAUUUUAAAUUUGUUUAGUUCCUGCAAUAUUUUCUGUCAUGGCUUUCCAUAGGAAUGGUGACUUUAACAUGUCCCUUUCUGUCCAUGGUGCAUUUCAUCCUCUCAUCCAUCCUAUCUUUAUGGAGAAGAGCCACUGAACUUUCAAAGUGUAGCUCAAGCAACUUUUCCUCCAACUUCUGGGAAAUCUGAUCACUUCCCCUUUUGUGGGCUCACAGUAAUCCUGACUUUGUUCUGUAAUCACAUGUAUCAUACUUCAUGGUACUUAUUCACUUGUAUGUCUGCUGUUACUAUUAAUCCAUAAAGUCCCGAAGAUUAAGUGAGUCCAUAUAUUAAUCAUUUUCAUAUUCCUAGUGUCUAGCAGAAUGUAUAUAGUAGACAGUAAAGUCUUAUUGUCUGAACCUAGAAAGCACCAUUUGAUAGAUAACACUCAGGAGACCAAGGAUGCAGACCUGUUGAGGAACAGAAGGCAGGGAAAAGUGGAAAAAGGAGGUGCACUGGGGAGAAGCAUUUGGUUUGGUCUUUUCUGAGAAUGCUGGCAUGAUCUGGCAUUGGUAGUAACUCUGAGAUUCCUGAGAGAGGCAGGCUGGUGGGGAUCCUGAUAGAGCCUGAACGGGAGAAAGAGAGAUCAAGGCCAGAGCUGUAAAUAUGAAAAUCCUUUUCCAUAAGAGGUGUUUGAAGCCAUAGGUGUGGAUGAGAUUGCCCAGGUAGAGAGGAUAGAGUGAGAAGAGAUGAGGAACCAGGAAUCUAAAGCCAUGUGCUUGCAGGUUUGUCAGAGGAAGAGAGCAAGGAGUAAAGCUGGUGGUAACUAUGCUACAAAAGGGAAAGAUAGUCAUGUUUCUGAAAGAAUGGAUGGUCAAUGAUGUUGGUGAUCCAAUGAGAACCAGAGAAGUACUUAGUAAAACAAUGAAUACUCUUUCUUGGGGGCACCGGGAUGGCUGAGUUGGUGAAGCCUGAAGCCCUUCUAUCCAGGUCAUGAUCUCAGUGUCCUGGAAUCAAGCCCCAUAUUGGGCUCCCUGCUCAAAGCUCCUUGCAAUGAGCUUGCUUCUCCCUCUCUUUCUGCCCCUCUCCAGCUUGCUCUCUCUUCCUCUCUCUCAAAUAAGUAAAUAAAAUCUUUUUAAAAAAUGAAUAAAUAACAGGUCAAGUAAGAAAAAGAGUACCUCGAAUUCAAUGUAUCCAAAUCUGAAAUCAUUAUUUUCCCCAAUAGAGUUGAUCUGUGCUGAAAGGUCCUCAAGAGCAGUGAUGAACUAGAAAGACUAAGGGGCUAACAUGUAGUCAUACCCAUGGCUAUGAUCAAUUAUAGAGAAAGAAUAUCAAUCAUAAGUAGCAAAGGAAAAGGCACAUGGCGUGAAGUCUAGGGGAAACCAGGUGCCAGCUUUCAAGAGUCCUCUCCCAGUGGAUGCACACAAGAUGCACUUAAUGUCUCCCAGCAAUGAGUUAUGACAACACAUGUGGAAUGUUGCCAUCCAGGGAAGCUCAUUAGAACUUUAAUGCCCAGGGUUUUAUUGGGAGCUGAUCACAAUGUACUCUGUGUCUGGCAUAUACUCCAAUUCCAGACUCCAAGAAGGAAGGCAGAUGUUCGGCAUAAACCAAUUGUUAUUAAAACAGUUUGGGCACAGUGAGUCACUCUUAUCAGUUAAUGGCAGGAAUCUGCCUGAAAUCAAGUUCCCAGAUGACAGCCAAGGGCCAGCCUUGUAAACAGGCCUUCCAAAGGGCAGCAUUCAGGCCUGCUAUGUUAACUCUUCUCUGUACAGAGUUUUUAUCUAGAAUUCCUUGUUGUAGUGAAUGAAAUUAUCAUUAAUUCUACCAAGCAAGUCAGAAACCUAAGUAAGCAUCAUCCUUUGCCAUGAUCUGCUUUUAGCUGACUGGAUGGUUUUGAAUUUAUGAGGAAUAAUGAAACAAAGCUAGAACACACAUGCCCAUAUACAUAGGCAGACCUACAUUUGAAGGCUUCAAAGAGCUACCAAGGCAAUGAGCAUUUCUAGGACUAAGAUACAGAAAAAAUGAAAAAUGAAGAGAGGUGUGGGUACAUUGCCCACAAGGCAAAUGCAAAAUCAGAAAAAAAAAAAGUGGCAUCUGAGGGGUUAACAUUCUGAGCAAAGUUUUUGGUAAUGUCACAAGGCUGGACGAUGAACAACUAUAGUGUAGGACCUUCUUAGAAGUAGUCAAUUACUCCGAUUUUUUUGUUGUUAUGCUAAUGGCUGCACCCUCAGAAUAAAGCUGGACUGGAAACAUUGCACAAGCUGCAAAGAUUAAAAACCAACUUCCAACCAGCUUAAUCCCCAAACAGAGAUGAUCUGUUAGAGGAAAAAUUAAAUCUACUCUGGAGGGUGAAAACCCUGUCCAAAGCCUUGAAUGUCUACAUAAUUUUUCAUACACAGCAUUGGCACUCAAUUAAAAAAAAUUCUCCAGAUAAACAAAAAGGUAAGAUCUGACCAAAAACAAGAGAAAAAUGGAGUUCUUGUACAGGAACAUUAAAUACAUAGAUGUGUUCAUAUGUUCAUUAGUUAUAUAUAUAACAUGUUCAAAAAAUGUAAUUGCAAGAUGAAGAAUUUCCCCAGAUAAUUCAGAACUAUGAAAAAGAGGCAGUGGAAUCAUAUAAUGGAAAAAUAAAAAUAAAUGAAAUUCAUCUCAAUCAAUGGGCAUAAUAUUAUACUGAAGUACUGUAGAAAGAAUUGUUGAGCCAGAAAUAAGUCUGUGAAAUACAUCCAGACUGAAGUAUGUAAAGACAAAAGACCAGACAGAAAGAAAAGAAAGUAAGGGAUGCACGGAACAUAAUGAAAAGAUGUAAUUAUAGCUCCAAAAAGAGUGGAGAGAGAAGCAAUAGCCAGAAGCAAUAUUUGAAGAAAUAAUGGCCAAUAAUUUCACAAAAUUUUCAAAAACUGUUGAACAACAUCAAUCCUCAAAAUCAUGCCUGUGGGCCCCAAGAGGAAAAAUAUAAGGAAAGCUAUGCCUUGGACACAUCGCGGUAAUUCCCACAGACCAAAGAUAAAAGGAAAUCUUAAAAGUGUUGGAGGUGUUGAAAAGACAGGUCUUUGAAACAGCAAGAACGACGACUGACUUCUUAUGGGAAAUCAUGAGAAUCGUGAUGCAAUUGAACGAUUUCCUCAAAAUGAUGAAAGAAAAUAGCUAUGAGCCUGAAAUUCUUUACUCAUCACAAUAUUCUUCAAAAAUGAAGGUGAAAUAAAAACACUUUUAGAGAAGCAAAAAUUAAGAUGACUUGCCAGGAGUACAUCUGAUCUGAAGGAGGCAAAACAGGGAGUUUUUAUUCAAGAGGAAAGUGAUCCUGGAUGGAGACAUGGAAUGCUGAAAGGAAGACCAACAUAAAUCGGAAUGGGUAUUGACAAAAAUCAACAAAAAUAAUGUAUUGAGAUGUUUAACAUACAUGCUAAUUACAAACAUGAGAAGAACAGCAUAAAUCUUGGGAGUGUACAUUAUCGAUGACUGUGGGUGCAGUGUCACAUGGCCAAUCUCUAGAGCUCUUCAUCUUGCUUGACUGAAGCUUUAUGACCACCGAUUAGCAACUCUCCACUACCUGCUCCUGGCAGCCACCAUUCUGCACUUUAUUCUAUGGGCUCGACUAUUUCAGAUACUUCAUGGCUCCACAUGUUCCUGAGAACAAGAAUACUCCACUGCCGUGUCGGGGCUCUCAUCUUCUUUCCUAGCUGCCGGCUUGGUCGCGGGUGUGUUGAACAAGGUUAUGUCCUGACAAAACUUGGAAACAAGUGCUUUUUCUUCACCACUGCCAACCCAAACAUUUCUUCCAACGCUCAGUGAUGGUAGCACAACACGCCAUUGGACAAAUACUUACUUAGCAGCUACUAUGUGCCUGGCAUUGUUCCAAAUCAUUGAUUGACAUCAGUGAUCCAAUGGACAAAAGUAUGCCCCAGAAAUGCUUCUGUUCUGACAGUGACACAGUCACAAAUGCAGGCAAGUCAAAAGUUCAAGUGACCAGCGUGAAGUGAAUGGGCGGCAUGGGCUAGAGGAAGCAUCCAGGAGUGGCAGGGGUGGUGGCCUGCUGGACAGUGAAAGUACACCCAAGGGGACACUGAUUUUUGGCUAACACAAGGGAAUGUCAGCCUAUGCAUUUCAUUUCAAGAAAAGUCUGGAAAUCUGGAUUUUUAACAGCAAAAAUCUCUUGCUUUUAAAAUGUUGAUAAGUAGCUCAGAAGUUUUAAAGAACAUCAUUCAAUCCUCAGAUCCAAAAGAAGACA